GACGAACGCUGGCGGCGUGCUUAACACAUGCAAGUCGAACGGAAAGGCCCUGCUUGCAGGGUACUCGAGUGGCGAACGGGUGAGUAACACGUGGGUGAUCUGCCCUGCACUUCGGGAUAAGCCUGGGAAACUGGGUCUAAUACCGGAUAGGAGCCAUUUUUAGUGUGAUGGUUGGAAAGUUUUUUCGGUGUAGGAUGAGCUCGCGGCCUAUCAGCUUGUUGGUGGGGUAAUGGCCUACCAAGGCGGCGACGGGUAGCCGGCCUGAGAGGGUGGACGGCCACAUUGGGACUGAGAUACGGCCCAGACUCCUACGGGAGGCAGCAGUGGGGAAUAUUGCACAAUGGGCGCAAGCCUGAUGCAGCGACGCCGCGUGGGGGAUGACGGCCUUCGGGUUGGAAACUCCUUUCGCUAGGGACGAAGCCUUUUGUGACGGUACCUAGAUAAGAAGCACCGGCUAACUACGUG
This 465-nucleotide ribosomal RNA is filed under the name uncultured bacterium. RNAcentral's name for it is "partial 16S ribosomal RNA". It matches the Rfam family "Bacterial small subunit ribosomal RNA", at positions 28 to 507 of the family's 1533-position model. The record is from RNAcentral.